UGCUUUGUAUGAAAUCCGUUGUAAUUAUCUGACAGACUUAACACAAUCAGUCUCAACUUGGCAUUAAAAGUAACC
This 75-nucleotide transfer RNA is filed under the name Vibrio paracholerae. Lineage: Bacteria; Pseudomonadati; Pseudomonadota; Gammaproteobacteria; Vibrionales; Vibrionaceae. The record is from RNAcentral.